RNAcentral lists this long non-coding RNA (895 nucleotides) under Homo sapiens (human). Its description in RNAcentral is "HSALNT0010267". Lineage: Eukaryota; Metazoa; Chordata; Mammalia; Primates; Hominidae. The record is from RNAcentral.
GUCUGGGAAGAAGCUCACAAAGUCAGCUGAAUCCUCAACCUCAUUCUCAUUCUCAUCAGGAAGCAUACAUCACAAUGAAACAUCUAUUCAAGGAGAGCUCCUAUAACUCCGGCUCAUAACAUAUAGAAACGUGAUAUACUUAAGAACAGGACAAGAGAGGACAGUAGGAGCGAAGCUGCAUUGGAAUAAAGAAAUGACAGCAGAUGUUAACUUGAACCCCCAGGAAUACAUUAAGAGAACCUGAAACUAUAGUCCACGCUUUUGGACUUACAGAUAGUGUAUUGGACUUUUCUGGCCUCACAGAGUGUUCCAGGGUGAAAUCUCUGAGAGUCCACACAAAUGCUGGAAAAAAGCUCACAAAGUCAGCUGAGUCGUCUACAGAAUUGUUACCAGGUUUACUGCUGUUCUGGACCACAAAAAAGGAUACUGAAGUUGGUCCAUGGCCUGCUGGUUGAUGGUUCCCAUGCUAUUGUACACGAAGGUGCUGCUCAGGAGGAUGGCCAAGGCAAAGAUCCAGGAGUCAUUCUCAUUGUCACCCUGCCCUCAGUGUCGAGCAGAACUAGGGUGUGUUCUGGCUUCUUGGGAUGAGGCACACACCACAUCCAGAUUCCCUUGGUGUGAGACUUCACUGUGGAGCCUAGAGAGAAGCCUGUAGAAGGAGAGGAUAAAAGGGAAAAGAAAUUACUUAGUAGGUGUUUCUGGAAAUUGAGAUAAAAGUUAACAUAAUUGAAGUUAAAAGAGAUAAAAGAAAAUACAACUGGCAUAAAUCUUAAUUACAAUCCUGGAAACAGGAAAAUUAGAUAUUUAAUACACACUGAAACAUUCAUAUUUUUCUUAAAGUUCAUUGAAAGCUUGCUGUCACUACAUGAACAUUUUAAUAAAUGUUUUAUAAGUC